Molecule: ribosomal RNA, 2450 nt
Filed under: Listeria monocytogenes
Lineage: Bacteria; Bacillati; Bacillota; Bacilli; Caryophanales; Listeriaceae
Description: partial 23S ribosomal RNA
Rfam family: Bacterial large subunit ribosomal RNA
Source: RNAcentral
AGUGACCGAUAGUGAACCAGUACCGUGAGGGAAAGGUGAAAAGCACCCCGGAAGGGGAGUGAAACAGUUCCUGAAACCGUGUGCCUACAAGUAGUUAGAGCCCGUUAAUGGGUGAUAGCGUGCCUUUUGUAGAAUGAACCGGCGAGUUACGAUUUGUUGCAAGGUUAAGCGGAAAAAGCGGAGCCGUAGCGAAAGCGAGUCUGAAUAGGGCGCAUAAGUAACAGGUCGUAGACCCGAAACCAGGUGAUCUACCCAUGUCCAGGAUGAAGGUAAGGUAAUACUUACUGGAGGUCCGAACCCACGCACGUUGAAAAGUGCGGGGAUGAGGUGUGGGUAGCGGAGAAAUUCCAAUCGAACUUGGAGAUAGCUGGUUCUCUCCGAAAUAGCUUUAGGGCUAGCCUCGAGGUAAAGAGUCAUGGAGGUAGAGCACUGUUUGGACUAGGGGCCCUUCUCGGGUUACCGAAUUCAGAUAAACUCCGAAUGCCAUGUACUUAUACUCGGGAGUCAGACUGCGAGUGAUAAGAUCCGUAGUCGAAAGGGAAACAGCCCAGACCACCAGUUAAGGUCCCCAAAUAUAUGUUAAGUGGAAAAGGAUGUGGGGUUGCUUAGACAACCAGGAUGUUGGCUUAGAAGCAGCCACCAUUGAAAGAGUGCGUAAUAGCUCACUGGUCGAGUGACCCCGCGCCGAAAAUGUACCGGGGCUAAACAUAUUACCGAAACUGUGGAUGAACCUCUUUAGAGGUUCGUGGUAGGAGAGCGUUCUAAGGGCGGUGAAGUCAGACCGGAAGGACUGGUGGAGCGCUUAGAAGUGAGAAUGCCGGUAUGAGUAGCGAAAGAAGGGUGAGAAUCCCUUCCACCGAAUAUCUAAGGUUUCCUGAGGAAGGCUCGUCCGCUCAGGGUUAGUCGGGACCUAAGCCGAGGCCGAUAGGCGUAGGCGAUGGACAACAGGUAGAGAUUCCUGUACCAGUGCUAAUUGUUUAACCGAUGGGGUGACACAGAAGGAUAGGGAAUCGCACGAAUGGAAAUGUGCGUCCAAGCAGUGAGUGUGAGAAGUAGGCAAAUCCGCUUCUCGCGAAGCAUGAGCUGUGAUGGGGAAGGAAAUUAAGUACGGAAGUUCCUGAUUUCACGCUGUCAAGAAAAGCCUCUAGGAAGAGUAGUACUGCCCGUACCGCAAACCGACACAGGUAGAUGAGGAGAGAAUCCUAAGGUGAGCGAGAGAACUCUCGUUAAGGAACUCGGCAAAAUGACCCCGUAACUUCGGGAGAAGGGGUGCUCUAUUAGGGUGCAAGCCCGAGAGAGCCGCAGUGAAUAGGCCCAGGCGACUGUUUAGCAAAAACACAGGUCUCUGCAAAACCGUAAGGUGACGUAUAGGGGCUGACGCCUGCCCGGUGCUGGAAGGUUAAGAGGAGUGCUUAGCUUCGGCGAAGGUACGAAUUGAAGCCCCAGUAAACGGCGGCCGUAACUAUAACGGUCCUAAGGUAGCGAAAUUCCUUGUCGGGUAAGUUCCGACCCGCACGAAAGGCGCAACGAUCUGGGCACUGUCUCAACGAGAGACUCGGUGAAAUUAUAGUACCUGUGAAGAUGCAGGUUACCCGCGACAGGACGGAAAGACCCCGUGGAGCUUUACUGCAACCUGAUAUGGAAUGUUUGUACCGCUUGUACAGGAUAGGUAGGAGCCGAAGAGACGUGUGCGCUAGCAUACGAGGAGGCAAUGGUGGGAUACUACCCUGGCUGUAUGACCAUUCUAACCCGCCACGCUUAGCGCGUGGGGAGACAGUGUCAGGUGGGCAGUUUGACUGGGGCGGUCGCCUCCUAAAGAGUAACGGAGGCGCCCAAAGGUUCCCUCAGAAUGGAUGGAAAUCAUUCGCAGAGUGUAAAGGCACAAGGGAGCUUGACUGCGAGACUGACAAGUCGAGCAGGGACGAAAGUCGGGCUUAGUGAUCCGGUGGUUCCGCAUGGAAGGGCCAUCGCUCAACGGAUAAAAGCUACCCCGGGGAUAACAGGCUUAUCUCCCCCAAGAGUCCACAUCGACGGGGAGGUUUGGCACCUCGAUGUCGGCUCGUCGCAUCCUGGGGCUGUAGUCGGUCCCAAGGGUUGGGCUGUUCGCCCAUUAAAGCGGCACGCGAGCUGGGUUCAGAACGUCGUGAGACAGUUCGGUCCCUAUCCGUCGCGGGCGCAGGAAAUUUGAGAGGAGCUGUCCUUAGUACGAGAGGACCGGGAUGGACACACCGCUGGUGUACCAGUUGUUCCGCCAGGAGCAUCGCUGGGUAGCUAUGUGUGGCAGGGAUAAACGCUGAAAGCAUCUAAGCGUGAAGCCCCCCUCAAGAUGAGAUUUCCCAUUUCUUCGGAAAGUAAGAUCCCUGAAAGAUGAUCAGGUAGAUAGGUUUGGAGUGGAAGUGUAGCGAUACAUGGAGCGGACAAAUACUAAUCGAUCGAGGACUUAACCAAAA